Long non-coding RNA from Syngnathus typhle (broad-nosed pipefish), 520 nucleotides. RefSeq lists it as uncharacterized. The record is from RefSeq and is a predicted model, not a curated record. The transcript has 2 exons. NCBI's taxonomy places the organism in Eukaryota, Metazoa, Chordata, Actinopteri, Syngnathiformes, Syngnathidae.
GUUGACCCAAUCCUUGCACACCACAAUGGCCCAUUUCCGCUUCCGUGUCCUCGGUUGCACUCUGUGGUAUCACGCUGCAAAAGCAUCCAGGAAAAUGGCAAAAUUAAGUAAAUGGACCAAACAGCGGCUGCAGCAACUGUUCCAGUGUGGACAAUUCGUUAUCCGAUGGGGAUUUAUCCCUACAGUGCUGUACUUGGGCUUCAAACGAGGAGCAGAUCCAGGAAUACCGGAGCCUUCAGUCUUGGGCUAUGACUUGAACACAUUGAAAACAUUUCACCCCAAAAUGAACGAAUCUCAUGCCAAAUAAAUAUUUGAUGAUGAGCUGUUAAACUGGUAUCAAAGGGCAAAUGGCCGGUGUUGCAAUGCGUGCGUGUGGAAAGAUACCACUGAAUUGUUGGCAUAAUUCGAAGGAACUGCUGACAAGUGGCAACACUGAUUUGCGUCAUCCACUGCUUCUGUGUCAGCGUUUUCUCUCAUGUGUCUGUCUGUGCAUUAAAACUGAGAGAUGAAUAGAUUUCAA